This 798-nucleotide long non-coding RNA is filed under the name Homo sapiens (human). RNAcentral's name for it is "novel transcript, antisense to SLC8A1". The record is from RNAcentral. Lineage: Eukaryota; Metazoa; Chordata; Mammalia; Primates; Hominidae.
ACAGAGUGAAAUAACACUGGUAAGUUCUGGAAGGUGCUUCAUAGUGUUCCAAAGUGUGUCAUCCCUGUGCUUAUGCAUUUGUAUCAAGGAUUUAAAGAGGAAAAACUCAAAGCAAUGUAUUCUGAUCAAGAAAUGGCAGGAAAUGGCAGCUACCUGAUAUGGAACAAUCAACAACUGAAGGUUUAUUUUGAAUGAGAGGUGUUGUCCAACUGCGAGACGGAGUGAUUGAAGCUGAGAAUAAAUGGAAACACAAUCAAUAGUCACUCCAGUGAGGUAGGAAAGAAAGCCAUUCCGAAGUGGCAGAGAAGCUGCUUUUUCCUCCUGCAUGCUGCCUGCUAGUGUGGAUCUUGGCAUAACAGACACUACUUGGCAAAAGAUCCAUCCUUCCUUUUCCUAUACUUUGCUCAGCGGCCUGGAAGAUUGACCUCAAAAGCAAAAUCACCUGGAUUUCCUUGCCAUUUGGCUUUCAAAUGUGCUCAGCCAAUGACAGGCUGGAAAGAAAUUGACAGCUGGGAAAAGAGGAAGAUUUGUGUACAAGAUCCCUUCCACUCCCAUCUCAUUACCUGCCAUGGUCCUAGCAGUGGCUGUUCUUAUUAUGGCCACAACUACUCUUGGACAGGCCAACAUCCACAACUCCAUCCUUCAACUAGGCUUCAUUAACACUGUCCCUCACCCUUAUCUCUUUCUGGGUAGGGGUGAUAAAGGUUUCCUGACAUCAGAGUUCCUGAGUGCCUCAUAUAUUCUUGUUGGUCCCUGAACCUUGCCCCAACAUCAAUAAAAAGUUCCUUCAUUAAAUAA